RNAcentral lists this ribosomal RNA (496 nucleotides) under uncultured bacterium. Its description in RNAcentral is "partial 16S ribosomal RNA". It matches the Rfam family "Bacterial small subunit ribosomal RNA", at positions 29 to 507 of the family's 1533-position model. The record is from RNAcentral.
AUGAACGCUGGCGGCGUGCCUAAUACAUGCAAGUCGAGCGAACAGACGAGGAGCUUGCUCCUCUGACGUUAGAGGCGGACGGGUGAGUAACACGUGGAUAACCUACCUAUAAGACUGGGAUAACUUCGGGAAACCGGAGCUAAUACCGGAUAAUAUAUUGAACCGCAUGGUUCAAUAGUGAAAGACGGUUUUGCUGUCACUUAUAGAUGGAUCCGCGCCGCAUUAGCUAGUUGGUAAGGUAACGGCUUACCAAGGCAACGAUGCGUAGCCGACCUGAGAGGGUGAUCGGCCACACUGGAACUGAGACACGGUCCAGACUCCUACGGGAGGCAGCAGUAGGGAAUCUUCCGCAAUGGGCGAAAGCCUGACGGAGCAACGCCGCGUGAGUGAUGAAGGUCUUCGGAUCGUAAAACUCUGUUAUUAGGGAAGAACAAAUGUGUAAGUAACUAUGCACGUCUUGACGGUACCUAAUCAGAAAGCCACGGCUAACUACGUG